Molecule: ribosomal RNA, 301 nt
Filed under: uncultured bacterium
Lineage: Bacteria
Description: partial 16S ribosomal RNA
Rfam family: Bacterial small subunit ribosomal RNA
Source: RNAcentral
CAGUCGCCGCGGGAAUACAGAGGGUGCGAGCGUUAAUCGGAUUUACUGGGCGUAAAGCGUGCGUAGGCGGCUUCUUAAGUCGGAUGUGAAAUCCCUGAGCUUAACUUAGGAAUUGCAUUCGAUACUGGGAAGCUAGAGUAUGGGAGAGGAUGGUAGAAUUCCAGGUGUAGCGGUGAAAUGCGUAGAGAUCUGGAGGAAUACCUAUGGCGAAGGCAGCCAUCUGGCCUAAUACUGACGCUGAGGUACGAAAGCAUGGGGAGCAAACAGGAUUAGAUACCCCCGUAGUCCCUGUCUCUUAUAU